Molecule: long non-coding RNA, 966 nt
Organism: Macadamia integrifolia
Lineage: Eukaryota; Viridiplantae; Streptophyta; Magnoliopsida; Proteales; Proteaceae
Exons: 2
Source: RefSeq, a predicted model, not a curated record
UUUCAUGCAAUUGAGUUUCUAAGUAUCUUUUUAUUUUUGGAAGUUUAUUCUCUUUAAGUGUAAGGCCAUUGGCCAUUGGCCAUUGUUUAUUUUCAAUUUAAUGAAGAAUAUUGAAAACAAGAAUAAACCCCCAACCCCUCACGGUUCUCUCUCUCUCUCAUUCUCUCAUCUUUCUCUCUCGCCUCUUUCCUCCCUUACUCUCUCGGCUCUCUCUUCUCUCAAUCUUCUUGUCUCGCCUCCCUCUCUUUCUUUUCAGUCUCAUCUCUUUUUUUUUCUGCUGCUGUGUUGUUACUACUGCACCUGCUACCUUACCUCACUGCUGCUGCAACACAUUACUGGCGUUACAAAAUUGUUGUUGCUGCACCUGCUGCCUUACCUCACUGCUGCUGCAACAUAUUCCUGCUGUUAAAAAAAUUGCUGCUGCAACAUAUUUCUGCCGGUACAAAAUUGCUCUGCUGCACACUGCUGCCUUUACACCACUGCUGCUACUCUCUCUACAAUUGGCUGGAUGUAUCUUCUUCAACAAAAAGUGGACUACAACCUCUUUAUUUUGGAGAACCUGGAUUUCUUCUUCUCUCCUCAGAUCUGAAUAGCAGUAUGACCUCGCAGCUAAUGUUCCAAAGUCUGAUAAUGGUUUGGCCACCCGAUCCAACAGCUGGAAACAUAAGGAACAUCUUUGAUCUCCAAAUAUCAAGACCAGCAUUACAGAAUGAUCCUUGAAACCAACCAUCUCAGCUAUGAUCACAUUCACUGAUGGUAUUGACUAUUCGAGCUUCUUUUAUUUAUUUAUUUAUUUUCCCCAUUACCCUUGUGGCUGCCAGCUGCUUCGCUUUCUGCCACAUGACUAUCUUUUUUUCUUUGCUAGUCCCAGAUUUGCAGCAAUAUUUUCCCUAUCAGCAUCUAAUCAUGGGUAGAAUAUGAUCCAAUCUGACAAUGCAACAAAUGAAAAUAAUACUUUGAAUGUUA